This 468-nucleotide ribosomal RNA is filed under the name uncultured bacterium. RNAcentral's name for it is "partial 16S ribosomal RNA". It matches the Rfam family "Bacterial small subunit ribosomal RNA", at positions 28 to 507 of the family's 1533-position model. The record is from RNAcentral.
GACGAACGCUGGCGGCGUGCCUAAUACAUGCAAGUCGAGCGCAAAGGCCUGGUACUUGUGGGGACUGCAAGUGGAGAACGGGUGUGAAUCACGUGUGUAACAUGCCCUUGUCUUCGGGGUACCUCAUGGAAACUGGGAUUAUAAUCGCGCAUAAACUCCUGAUGCACAGGGGGGAAGGGAGAAAUUCGCCGUUGCGGGAUGGAAUCGCGGCUUAGCGGCUUGUUGGUGAGGUAGUGGCGUACCAAGGCGUUGAGGGGAAGCCGGCCUGAGAGGGUGACCGGCCACAUUGGGCUUGAGGUACGGCCCAGACUCCUACGGGAGGCAGCAGUGGGGAAUAGUGCACAAUGGGCGGAAGCCUGAUGCAGCAACGCCGCGUGCUGGAUGACGGCCUUCGGGUUGUAAACCGCGUUCGCCUGUGACGAAGCGUGAGUGACGGUAAUGGGUAAGGAAGCAACGGCUAACUACGUG